This 110-nucleotide transfer RNA is filed under the name Microbacterium invictum. Its description in RNAcentral is "tRNA-OTHER". The record is from RNAcentral. Lineage: Bacteria; Bacillati; Actinomycetota; Actinomycetes; Micrococcales; Microbacteriaceae.
GGAUCAACCUGCCCGACCGGCAGCCACAAAAGCAGGUCGCGUGACUCCACACAGCUUGACAUCGGGCGCUCACGGCGGUAACGCGGGUUCGAAUCCCGCUGGGGUCACCA